Zea mays is the source of this 226-nucleotide non-coding RNA. NCBI's taxonomy places the organism in Eukaryota, Viridiplantae, Streptophyta, Magnoliopsida, Poales, Poaceae. The record is from Rfam.
ACGACCUUACUUGAACAGGAUCUGUUCUAUAGGAUUGUACCGUUGCAUCCUUGACAAAUAAAGGAGGCAAGCACUAAAACCUGGUUGAUGAGACAUGACCUGUGGGCCAGAGCGUGAAUAACGGCCAGGAUCGGGCUCAGAUGCUUGUGUCCGGUGCUGUAGAGGAUCGUUCCUCGCUAGGGUGUCUACCCUGGCUGGGGGUGGCUCAUGGGUUGUCUGACAGGUU